AGUCGACGAUGAUCCCAGCUUGCUGGGGGAUUAGUGGCGAACGGGUGAGUAACACGCGAUUAACCUGCCCUUGACUCUGGGAUAAGCCUGGGAAACUGGGUCUAAUACCGGAUACGACCAUCUGGCGCAUGUCAUGGUGGUGGAAAGCUUUUGUGGUUUUGGAUGGACUCGCGGCCUAUCAGCUUGUUGGUGGGGUAAUGGCCUACCAAGGCGACGACGGGUAGCCGGCCUGAGAGGGUGACCGGCCACACUGGGACUGAGACACGGCCCAGACUCCUACGGGAGGCAGCAGUGGGGAAUAUUGCACAAUGGGCGCAAGCCUGAUGCAGCGACGCCGCGUGAGGGAUGACGGCCUUCGGGUUGUAAACCUCUUUCAGUAGGGAAGAAGCGAAAGUGACGGUACCUGCAGAAGAAGCGCCGGCUAACUACGUGCCAGCAGCCGCGGUAAUACGUAGGGCGCAAGCGUUAUCCGGAAUUAUUGGGCGUAAAGAGCUCGUAGG
This 500-nucleotide ribosomal RNA is filed under the name Paenarthrobacter nitroguajacolicus. Its description in RNAcentral is "bacterial SSU rRNA". It matches the Rfam family "Bacterial small subunit ribosomal RNA", at positions 60 to 575 of the family's 1533-position model. The record is from RNAcentral. Lineage: Bacteria; Bacillati; Actinomycetota; Actinomycetes; Micrococcales; Micrococcaceae.